Molecule: non-coding RNA, 3028 nt
Organism: Mesocricetus auratus (golden hamster)
Lineage: Eukaryota; Metazoa; Chordata; Mammalia; Rodentia; Cricetidae
Source: the annotation of a RefSeq genome assembly
UUCAGUAACGCUGGUGAUUGUAGACAUCCACUGUGGACAUGAGACCUGCAUCCUUUGGGUGAAGUUUAAAGUUUAUUCACAAUGUGUUGUGCAAACAUCUGUGGUGCCAUUUAAAGGGAAACCAGCAGAGGGCGCUAACUCUUCAGAUGUGGUUAAUGUCUCAUCAGGUGGUGGCUUCACAUGACUGACUGUCACUGUGCAGAAGGAGGUCUUUGUUUAUGAGUGAGGAGUUUCAGGAAGGUCCUGAGGAGACUUGUCCUGUGAGUGUGGUGAACUCAAGAACCAAGUGUCAUUGUCUUCUGUGAACAUGCUGCCUGUCACCUGCCCAGUUCUGCUGCUCCUCUUGAUGCUCGGAAAGGUCAGUGGAGAUUCAGUGACGCAGACAGAAGGCCUGGUUACUGUCACAGAGGGGUCGCCUUUGACGCUGAACUGCACCUAUCAGACUACUGAUUCAGCUCCUACAGUUUUUUGGUACGUGCAAUACCUCAACAAAGCCCCUCAGCUGCUCCUGAAGAUCUUUACAGACAACCAGAAGACAGAGCAGCAAGGGUUCCACACCACUCUCCAUAAGAGCAGCAGCUCCUUCCCCCUGCAGAAGUCCUCAGUGCAGCUGUCAGACUCUGCCCUGUACUACUGUGCUCUGAGUGACACAGUGAGGGAGAUGCAGGGGAAGCUGCACAGAAACCAAGGUGCAGGAGGCUGAGGGGAGGGGCCCUGUGAGGGAAUGCUGUGUGACUCUCUCAGCGGGUUUAUGUAUCAUUCUGAAAAACAGCAACAAAACUCAGGUCAAUUCUUAGAAUCCCAGGAAUCUGUUGAUUUUCUGACAGGAUAGGAUGGAAGUCAUUGCCAGCGACAACACAGCCUGCCUCCACAGUGACACACUUCCUCCAACAUGACCACAUCUACUCCAACAAGGCCACAACUCCUAGUUAGUGCCACUCCUUGUGAGAUUAUAUUGGCCAGUUUCACUCAAAUUGACACAACGGCUGAUAUCUACUUAUAAAUGAGUACAUACGUUGUUUGUGUUUCUUGGUCUGGGUUACCUCACUCAGGAUUAUCUUUUCUAGGUCCAUCUACACCUUCAGCAGCCAUCAAAUUAUGAUAGGUAUAGUGGAGCCUACAUUGUUUAGAGCAGGGAAUAAUGUGCAUAACUCCACCUAAGUCAGAAAUAUGACUGGCAUUGUCUCAAGUAAGUUUCAUGUAUGUAACCACAUAUGCUAUGAAUUUAUAGGUUGCUUUUCUCCAAAAUGUAGAAUUCCACAGCAGACAUUCUCAUCCUCUGGCGCUUAUAUUCUCUCUACCUCCUCUUGUUUAAUUUUCAGCAGGAGGUGUUGAUAAAGAUGUCCUAUUUAAGAUUAGACACUCACAGUUUCUAUCUCAGUUCAUUGACUAGAAAUGAAUUUCUGCAUUGAAUACUGUCUACUACAAAAACAGGCUUCUUUCACCAAGGCUGACAUCAUCAAUGGUCUGUGUGUAUAAAUAUGACCAUUUUAUCCUAGUUUGUGUCCCUGUUCUGUAAUAGAAUACUAAAUCAAAAGUCCAAUUAGCAAUGAAAGGGUUUAUUCCAUUUUCCCCCCUGUCUAGUCCGUUACUGAGGGAAUCUAAGGUAGGAAGUCAAGAUAGGAAUCUAGAGGCAGGGAUUAAGGCAGAGAUCAUGGAGAACUAGCACUUAUUGCCCUGAUUCAGCUUACUUUCUUAUACACACAGUGACCACCUGUCCAAGGGAGUCACAACCUACAAAGGACUGUGUCAGCUCACAUAAAUCACUAAUCAAGAAAACGCUCCACAGAUAUGUCUAGAGGCCAGUAUGAUUAAAAGGAUUACUCAGUUGAGUUUCUUCUUCACAAGUGUCUUUACUCAUGUCAAGUUGGACACAUGUCAAUUUGACACAUAACCAGAUCACUAUUAAAGUAUAACUUUUCCUAUCUUGUUGACUCCUAGGAAGUUAUCUUAAUAUCACAAUAUAAAAUAUCAGAAAACUUUAAAAUUUCCACUAUUUAAAAAAUUCAGACUUUAAAAGUUCCAGGUCCCUCAGAGUAUCAAAAUUCUCUUAAUGAUGGAUUCUUAUACAAUUAAAGAAGUUAAAAAAACUUGAAAAAGCAUGAAACAGUUACAAUCAGAUCAAAGCUAAAACUCAACCCAUUAGAGUGAAUAAGUCAUUGUCUGAUGUUUGGAACUCACUCAUGAUUUUCUACACUUCAAAGGGCUUGGACAUCUCUACUUCUACAGGUUUUCCAUCCACAGCACACACAGAUUUUCUUGUUUUCUUAAGCUGAUUCCUCUGUCCUCAGUGGUUGUCCCAUGGUCCUCUUAUUUCAAUAUGUUUGAGUCCCCAAUGUUAUUGGUGUUGACCAUUAAUUAAUGGCCUCUCCUGCUUCUCUCCAUGACUCCCCUUAUCCUAGAAUCUCCACUGAGACUAUGUCUACUUUUAAAUCAUUAUCAUUCUGUUUUAAUCAUUAUGGUUUUGUUGCAUAUUUUGAAAUCCAUAAUGGUGAUUCCUCCCUCAGCAUUCUUGUUAUUUAGGUGUGAUUUGGUCUCCUUUGGUCCUUUCUUGCUCCAUUUACAUUUUUAGGGUUUUUCCUUGUAUGUCUAUGAAAACUAGUCUUGAAAUUUUGUUCAUGUAUCACAUGAAUCAAUUUUGUAAAAAAUGGGCAUUCUAUCAAAAAAGCAUUCUGUGGCUACAAUGCAACCACAAUAUAAAUUCCUGGUAUAUUCUUAAAGUGGUUUCACUUCCUUCUCUAACAGCAUUAGUGUUUUAAGUAUUUGCAUUGGACUAUUUGAUGAAUUUUUAAUUGUUUUGGUAAGCAUGAGAAAGGAAUAGUUUUAUUCUACUACAUACAGAUCUCUAUUUUGCCAGCUCCAUUUGCUGAAAGUGUCUAUUCACCAUUGUAUUUGCUGUAGUUGUAUUGAUUUCUGAGUCCUCAAGUAUAAUUCCAUCCGACUAUGUGUCUCUUUCAUUACAGGAAAAUGCUGUUGGCUCCCAUGUUGCUAUUCUUUAAUUAAUAAAAAAGUGUGGUAUCUCUUGCUU